This 221-nucleotide unclassified non-coding RNA is filed under the name soil metagenome. RNAcentral's name for it is "partial contains 5.8S ribosomal RNA, internal transcribed spacer 2, and large subunit ribosomal RNA". The record is from RNAcentral.
AACCUAGCACACCUGCGGUGUGUACCUGCGGAAGGAUCAUUAACGAGUUACCACUCUAUAACCCUUUGUGAACAUACCUACAUGUUGCUUCGGCGGUCGGCCCCCCCGGGCCCCCGGCCCCGCUCACGCGGGGCGUCCGCCGGAGGGUAACCAAACUCUGAUUUAACGACGUUUCUUCUGAGUGGCACAAGCAAAUAAUCAAAACUUUUAACAACGGAUCU